UGUGUGUAGUGAUGAGUACCUGAAUUCAAGCGUCAAGCAUGGCGCCCGAACAGCAUGAGGAAACUUUACUGUUGCCUUCCUUCUGAUUAAAGCACA
Small nucleolar RNA from Neoarius graeffei (lesser salmon catfish), 96 nucleotides. RefSeq annotates it as small nucleolar RNA U83B. The transcript has a single exon. The record is from RefSeq and is a predicted model, not a curated record. NCBI's taxonomy places the organism in Eukaryota, Metazoa, Chordata, Actinopteri, Siluriformes, Ariidae.